This 305-nucleotide ribosomal RNA is filed under the name uncultured bacterium. Its description in RNAcentral is "partial 16S ribosomal RNA". It matches the Rfam family "Bacterial small subunit ribosomal RNA", at positions 508 to 807 of the family's 1533-position model. The record is from RNAcentral.
ACAGCAGCCGCCACGGUAAUACGAAGGGGGCUAGCGUUGCUCGGAAUUACUGGGCGUAAAGGGAGCGUAGGCGGAUCGUUAGGUUGGGGGUGAAAGCCCGGGGCUCAACCUCGGAACUGCCUUCAAUACUGGCGAUCUUGAGUAUGAGAGAGGUGUGUGGAACUCCGAGUGUAGAGGUGAAAUUCGUAGAUAUUCGGAAGAACACCAGUGGCGAAGGCGACACACUGGCUCAUUACUGACGCUGAGGCUCGAAAGCGUGGGGAGCAAACAGGAUUAGAUACCCGAGUAGUCCCUGUCUCUUAUAC